CCCUCUUCAAUACUCCAUUUUAUUUCUCAGUGUUUUCACCACUUCCUUCAUUUAUUACACUGAUUUUAUGUCAUAACAUCAAAAACCUGUGUAUCUGUCAUAACAUCAAAAACCUGUGUAUCUGUCAUAACAUCAAAAACCUGUGUGUCUGUCAUAACAUCAAAAGCAUGUGUGUGUAUCUGUCAUAACAUCAAAAACCUGUGUAUCUGUCAUAACAUCAAAAGCAUGUGUGUGUGUGUGUCAUAACAUCAAAAAAGUUGAGGCACAGAUCUUGUCAUAUAUUAGAAACCAUGGAAAUACAAUUAAUAUAAUGACUAUUCUAGAUUCCAGUAAUAACAUUUAUAUGUUAAAAAAACGCAGGAAUGCGCAUCACAGAUUUGACAUGUUCACAUGAACUUCAAAAGAUCAAGAUCAUAUAUAUAUAUUUUUUAAAUGUUUUUAACAACAACAAAACAACAGUAUAGUAAACAAGUAAACAAACAAAAGUGUAACAUUCCAUUUUGCAGUGAAGACUACACCGCCGCAUUGCAGAACUUUAUCGCUGUGGAGCAAGUCUUUCACUAACAUAAUAUAUGAGCCAAGCCACAAGAAAGACAAGAGGCCUGUGUCCCAAAUGCCUAUGGGCCCUCUUGUCAAAAGUAGUGGACUAAUUAGCUAUUUGGAAUUCCACCAGUUUCAGGGCAGAACAGAGUACACGGAGAAAACUCUGUGCACUAAUAGCAUAGUUAUAUUACAGUAUGGUAAUAGUAUAGUAAUAGUGUAGUACAGUAAUAGUGUAGUACAGUAGAGUAAUAGUAUAGUACAGUAACAAUAUAGUACAGUAUAGUUAUAGUACAGUAAUAGUAUAGUACAAUACAGCAAUAGUAUAGUAAUAGUACAGUACAAUAUAGUAAUAGUACAAUACAAUAUAGUAAUAGUACAGUAUAUAAUAGUAAUAGUACAAUACAGUAAUAGUACAGUACAGUAUAGUAAUAGUGUAGUACAGUAAUAGUAUAGUAGUAAUAGUACAGUACAGUAAUAGUACAGUAUAGUAAUAGUAUAAUUACAGUAUAAUAAUUGUUUACUACAGUUAUAGUAUACAAAUAUCAUAUAAUAGUAUAGUAAUAUCGUAUAAUACAGUAUAAUAGUAUAGUAAUAUCAUAUAAUAGUAUAGUACAGUAUAAUAGUAUAGUAAUAUUGUAUAAUAGUAUAGUACAGUAUAAUAGUAUAGUACAGUAUAAUAGUAUAGUCAUAUCGUAUAAUAGUAUAGUACAGUAUAGUAAUACUGUAUAAUAGUAUAGUACAAUAUUAUAGUACAGUAUAGUAAUAUUGUAUAAUAGUACAGUACAGUAAUACUGUAUAAUAGUAUAGUACAAUAGUAUAGUACAGUAUAGUAAUAUUGUAUAAUAGUAUAGUACUAUCGAAUAAUAGUAUAGUAAUAUCAUAUAAUAGUACAGUAUAAUAGUAUAGUAAUACUGUAGUAAUACUGUAUAAUAGUAUAAUAGUAUAGUAAUAUCAUAUAAUAGUACAGUAUAAUAGUAUAUUAAUAUCAUUUAAUAGUACAGUAUAAUAAUAUAGUAAUAUCAUAUAAUAGUACAGUAUAAUAGUAUAGUAAUACUGUAUAAUAGUAUAAUACAAUAAUAGUAUAGUAAU
RNAcentral lists this long non-coding RNA (1632 nucleotides) under Salmo salar (Atlantic salmon). RNAcentral describes it as "lncRNA (ENSSSAG00000121210.1)". Lineage: Eukaryota; Metazoa; Chordata; Actinopteri; Salmoniformes; Salmonidae. The record is from RNAcentral.